UACGUAGGGGGCUAGCGUUGUCCGGAUUUAUUGGGCGUAAAGAGCGUGUAGGCGGCCAGAUAGGUCUGCUGUGAAAACUCGAGGCUCAACCUCGAGAUGUCGGCGGAAACCAUUUGGCUAGAGUCCGGAAGAGGAAAGUGGAAUUCCUGGUGUAGCGGUGAAAUGCGCAGAUAUCAGGAGGAACACCGAUGGCGAAGGCAGGUCUCUGGGCCGAUACUGACGCUGAGGAGCGAAAGCGUGGGGAGCGAACAGG
Molecule: ribosomal RNA, 253 nt
Filed under: uncultured bacterium
Lineage: Bacteria
Description: partial 16S ribosomal RNA
Rfam family: Bacterial small subunit ribosomal RNA
Source: RNAcentral